Molecule: non-coding RNA, 71 nt
Organism: Parelaphostrongylus tenuis
Lineage: Eukaryota; Metazoa; Nematoda; Chromadorea; Rhabditida; Metastrongylidae
Source: the annotation of a GenBank genome assembly
GCGUCGGUAGUGCAGCGAUUCAGUACGCGCUCGCCCAGAGUGAAAUAUGGGUUCGAAUCCCAGCUGACGCG